UUGGGCGUAAAGAGCUCGUAGGCGGUUAGUCACGUCAGAUGUGAAAGCCCAGGGCUCAACCUUGGAACUGCACCUGAUACUGCAAGACUAGAGUACAAUAGAGGAUAGCGGAAUUCCAGGUGUAGCGGUGAAAUGCGUAGAUAUCUGGAGGAACACCAAUGGCGAAGGCAGCUAUCUGGGAUACAACUGACGCUGAGGUACGAAAGCGUGGGGAGCAAACAGGAUUAGAUACCCUGGUAGUCCACGCCGUAAACGAUGAGAACUAGACGUUGGGUAUUUAUACCUGGUGUCGCAGCUAACGCAUUAAGUUCUCCGCCUGGGGAGUACGGCCGCAAGGUUGAAACUCAAAGUAAUUGACGGGGGCCCGCACAAGCGGUGGAGCAUGUGGUUUAAUUCGAUGCAACGCGAAGAACCUUACCUACACUUGACAUCAUCAGAACUUGUUAGAGAUAACUCGGUGCCUUCGGGAACUGAUAGACAGGUGCUGCAUGGCU
RNAcentral lists this ribosomal RNA (494 nucleotides) under uncultured Gammaproteobacteria bacterium. RNAcentral describes it as "bacterial SSU rRNA". It matches the Rfam family "Bacterial small subunit ribosomal RNA", at positions 554 to 1050 of the family's 1533-position model. Lineage: Bacteria; Pseudomonadati; Pseudomonadota; Gammaproteobacteria. The record is from RNAcentral.